Small nuclear RNA from Lynx canadensis (Canada lynx), 109 nucleotides. The record is from Ensembl. NCBI's taxonomy places the organism in Eukaryota, Metazoa, Chordata, Mammalia, Carnivora, Felidae.
UUGUGCUCACUUCAGCAACAGAUAUACUAAAAUUGGAACAAUCCAGGGAAAAUGAGCAAGGUCCCUGCACAAGGAUGACACACAAAUUUAUGAACCAUUCCAUAUUUUU